RNAcentral lists this ribosomal RNA (442 nucleotides) under uncultured bacterium. RNAcentral's name for it is "partial 16S ribosomal RNA". It matches the Rfam family "Bacterial small subunit ribosomal RNA", at positions 338 to 795 of the family's 1533-position model. The record is from RNAcentral.
CCUACGGGUGGCAGCAGUAGGGAAUCUUUCACAAUGGGCGAAAGCCUGAUGGAGCAACGCCGCGUGCAGGAUGAAGGCCUUCGGGUUGUAAACUGCUUUUAUAAGCGAGAAAUAUGAUGGUAACUUAUGAAUAAGGAUCGGCGAACUACGUGCCAGCAGCCGCGGUCAUACGUAGGAUCCGAGCAUUAUCCGGAGUGACUGGGUGUAAAGAGUUGCGUAGGUGGCCUAAUAAGUAGCUAGUGAAAUCUGGUGGCUCAACCAUUCAGACUAUUAGCUAAACUGUUAAGCUCGAGACCGUUAGAGGUAACUGGAAUUUGUAGUGUAGGAGUGAAAUGCGUAGAUAUUGGGAGGAACACCAAUAGCGUAGGCAGGUUACUGGGACGGUUCUGACACUAAGGCACGAAAGCGUAGGGAGCAAACGGGAUUAGAUACCCUUGUAGUC